This 256-nucleotide unclassified non-coding RNA is filed under the name rhizosphere metagenome. Its description in RNAcentral is "partial ribosomal RNA internal transcribed spacer region". The record is from RNAcentral.
GUAGGUGAACCUGCGGAAGGAUCAUUAUCUAUUUUAAUGGUGUUGGCUGCGGCCCCCGGCGGGAAAGCCCCCGGGUGGUAGAGGUAACACUCUCACGCGGCCACAUGCCUUAAUCCUUUUUUUUACGAGCACCUUUCGUUCUCCUUCGGUGGGGCAACCUGCCGUUGGAACCUAUCAAAACCUUUUUUGCAUCUAGCAUUACCUGUUCUGAUACAAACAAUCGUUACAACUUUCAACAAUGGAUCUCUUGGCUCUG